This 379-nucleotide ribosomal RNA is filed under the name uncultured cyanobacterium. Its description in RNAcentral is "bacterial SSU rRNA". It matches the Rfam family "Bacterial small subunit ribosomal RNA", at positions 376 to 770 of the family's 1533-position model. The record is from RNAcentral. Lineage: Bacteria; Bacillati; Cyanobacteriota.
CGAAAGCCUGACGGAGCAAGACCGCGUGAGGGAGGAAGGCUCUUGGGUUGUAAACCUCUUUUCUCAGGGAAGAAGCUCUGACGGUACCUGAGGAAUCAGCCUCGGCUAACUCCGUGCCAGCAGCCGCGGUAAUACGGAGGAGGCAAGCGUUAUCCGGAAUUAUUGGGCGUAAAGAGUCCGUAGGUAGUGGGGCAAGUCGGCGGUUAAAGGCUGGGGCUUAACUCCAGAAGAGCCGUGGAAACUGCACCACUAGAGGGCGGUAGGGGUAGAGGGAAUUCCCGGUGUAGCGGUGAAAUGCGUAGAUAUUGGGAAGAACACCGGUGGCGAAAGCGCUCUACUGGGCCAUAACUGACACUGAGGGACGAAAGCCAAGGUAGCG